UUCUUCGGGGCAGGGUGAUAUGCGAAGGCAUAAAUUCCCUACCGACGGUGAUCCUGGCGAAGAAGGCCAGAAAGUCCGUGAACCGCGCAGGCGGCUGAUCCGGUGAGAUUCCGGAACCGACAGUAAAGUCUGGAUGGGAGAAGAA
Molecule: non-coding RNA, 145 nt
Filed under: Candidatus Eubacterium avistercoris
Lineage: Bacteria; Bacillati; Bacillota; Clostridia; Eubacteriales; Eubacteriaceae
Description: FMN riboswitch (RFN element)
Rfam family: FMN riboswitch aptamer (RFN element)
About the family: The RFN element is a highly conserved domain that is found frequently in the 5'-untranslated regions of prokaryotic mRNAs that encode for flavin mononucleotide (FMN) biosynthesis and transport proteins. This element is a metabolite-dependent riboswitch that directly binds FMN in the absence of proteins.
Source: RNAcentral